This 478-nucleotide ribosomal RNA is filed under the name uncultured bacterium. RNAcentral's name for it is "partial 16S ribosomal RNA". It matches the Rfam family "Bacterial small subunit ribosomal RNA", at positions 28 to 507 of the family's 1533-position model. The record is from RNAcentral.
GAUGAACGCUGGCGGCGUGCUUAACACAUGCAAGUCGAACGAGAAGUGGAGACGGAAACCUUCGGGCGGAAGACUUUACUUCGAGUGGCGGACGGGUGAGUAACUCGUGGGUAACCUGCCUCAUACAGGGGGAUAACAGUUUGAAACGACUGUUAAUACCGCAUAAGACCACAGCACCGCAUGGUGCGGGGGUAAAAACUCCGGUGGUAUGAGAUGGACCCGCGUUCGAUUAGCCAGUUGUCGGGGUAACGGCCCACCAAAGCGACGAUCGAUAGCCGAUCUGAGAGGAUGACCGGCGACAUUGGGACUGAGACACGGCCCAAACUCCUACGGGAGGCAGCAGUGGGGAAUAUUGCACAAUGGGGGAAAUGCUGAUGCAGCGACGCCGCGUGAGUGAAGAAGUAUUUCGGUAUGUAAAGCUCUAUCAGCAGGGAAGAAAAUGACAGUACCUGAGUAAGAAGCCCCGGCUAACUACGUG